Molecule: long non-coding RNA, 1948 nt
Filed under: Cyanoderma ruficeps (rufous-capped babbler)
Lineage: Eukaryota; Metazoa; Chordata; Aves; Passeriformes; Timaliidae
Description: lncRNA (ENSCRFG00000014023.1)
Source: RNAcentral
CAAUAGAUGACUUCUCCCAAGGAGACUCAAUAAGGUGAGACUUUAAAAAUACCUAACACUUACCUGAGGAAUGACUUGAGAGACGUGGUACUCACUUUGCUUUGCUUUUAAAGAAGCUCUGAGAAAGAGGGGAGCGAUGACAGUUGGCAUACCUCUGAGGAAGAGGAACUUGAUUUUACCCCCAAGAAGCUGCAGAAGCCAAACCUGACACUGUUAAUGAAUGCUUCGCAGCAGUUCAGGAAAAACAGUGAGUUAUUUGCAAAAGGUUGCAUGAUAUACUGAUAGAUAAAGUAGGCUUGCUAAAUAGGCUUUUUGGUUGAUUUGGAGGUUUUUUUUGAAAUAGUAAAUGAGAAAAGUAGCAUUUUUCAAACAUGGCAUUUAAUAAUGAAGAAUAAAAUAAGUCAUUAAAAUGAAGAUAUUAAUCCUCUCUUAAGCCCUUUUCCUUCAUCGAGUUCAUCCUCCAUCCUGCCCAAGCUCACCUCUCCAUUUCUAGACAUUCCCAAAUGGCUCCUCUCUUGUACAUUAAUGUACGUGUGUUUUUCCUUUUUUUUUUUUUUUUUGUACUUUAAGGUGAUCGUGGUGAUUCUAGAAUUGAAAGUCCUAAGUCACCAAAGAAAAGUCUCAAACAAAGAAUCCCAUCAGGUGCAAAUGUGAACAAAGGAGACAGUGAAGAAUUGUUUAAUCAAGAUGUCUCAGCUGCAAGCAACCUGGAUGGAGAAGAUUUGGAGGAGGAAGAGGAGGAGGAGGAAGAGGAUGAAAAUGACAAUGGAGAUGGUGAUGAAGAUUAUGAAGAGGAGGAGGAGGAGGAGGAGGAUGAAGAUUUUACAGAAGAUGAAAAGGAGGAGGAGGAGCUGGAAGAUGAAGAAACUCAAUCUAAUGAAAUAAUGGAAGAAGAGAAAACAGUACCUAAAGGGCAAAUUAAUCAGAAAUUAGAGUGUUUCAGUAAAGCAAAGUUUGAAGGGGAUGCUCGAUGUGGAACUGGAGAUGUCUGUGAUGAUGAUGAAAUAACUAAAGAACAGGAUGAAAAGGUGGAGGAAUCUGUUGAUAUUCCUGUGUCUUUCAUAGCUUGUGAACGGUUUCAAGAAAAUAGAACAGUCGCAUCUCCAAAGAUGAUGAAUAAUGAAAUAUCUUGCAAGUCAGUACCAAAACAAGCUGUCUUUCAAAAUCUAAAUAAUCUGCAAGAUAUGCAAGAAAGUUGGAACAGGAAAAGCGUGGUUGAGGAGAAGUUUCACAGAAAUGCUGACUCCUGUUUUGCAGACUCUGAAAUGACAGAGUGGAAAAAAGAGAUACCUCAGCCUCUCUUAGAUAGUUGUGGUGUUAAGGAGAAAAAGUCAAACUUCAGUGAUGGCUUUGAAAGUGGCAAUAAUUCUUGGGUAGCAGAAAAAACCCCAGGACCUGAAAGUGAAAGACCAGCCUCUGUCAUGCUUGAACAUGUGGAUGGUGAAGAUACUGAGGAAGAGGAAUAUGAAGGAAUAGACGAUAAAGGCGGUAAACCACUGAAACAAGAAAGUGAAAACUUGCACUUAAAUAAGCAGGAAGAAAAUCUGAGAGCAGCAUUUCAUUCAAGCACCGAAGAAGAAUCAUCUGAACACGAAGAAGAAAAGGAAGGCGCUGGCAAAAAGCAACAAACUACAGUUGUUGAGGAUGUGAAAAAUUCUGUUUGUAAUGAUAGGCAUGAAGUCCACAAAGCUUCAAAGGACAACUCUGGUGCCCUUCCAACAGUGGGAGUAGAGCAAGAGGAGGAUGCUGAAUCUCCCUGGGAUUCUGAGGUUACACAGGAAGAUUCUGAAAUGCCAAGAAAAAUAUCAUCUGAUGUGCUGCUCCCAGCUGCAGAGAGACAUGGAGCACGGUCCCAGAUUGUGUCAGGGGAAAAUGACAAUGGUAACUUCCUGGUGGCCUAAUGUUUGUCUCUAAGCAUUUACAGGCUAAAGUAAACUUUUAUCAGUGU